This 93-nucleotide small nucleolar RNA is filed under the name Petasospora fabianii. Lineage: Eukaryota; Fungi; Ascomycota; Saccharomycetes; Phaffomycetales; Wickerhamomycetaceae. The record is from RNAcentral.
UUUUGUGAUGAUCUUUUAUAUUCACACUGUCCGAGGAAGUUUAACUACUCUCCAGUGAUUAACAAACAAAAAACUGAUUUAAUGACUCUGAUU